GGCCCAAGGCCACCAAAUAAAGAACAACCCCAAGAGCAUGGUGAAGGGUAAAAUGGACAAUUCUACAUAAAGAGGGGUGUGCCUAUCAUAAAAGGGGUGGCAUUAGUGUUUACUUUUCCAUAGGCACCUAGCAUAUUUUACAUGUGUUUAAUAAAGCUUUCUAGAAGCCACACACAUUUAGCACAUGGCUAAUUAGUUGGAAUGAGAUCUGAAACGUGUGGCCUUGAGAUUGAUCUAUAAAAUCUCAUAGGCUAAGCUUGUAAAUCACUUUGGAAUCUAUGAGAAAUUUCUUCAAUCUGAAAUUCAUCUCUGCCAAGCAAAUGCUUACCAAAGUCACUCUUUCCAUCAACUCUCUCCCACCUCUUAGCUUUCUUCCAACAAUGGAGGCUGCCUGAAGCUAGGACCACCUCAUUCCUUCUCUGCCGCCACCAACAUUCCACUCAAAAUCCAUCAAGUUCCGCUGCCAUCUGCUGGAAUCCUUCCUUCUCAGUUUCUGGCUUCAACACAGCAAUGGAGAGUCGUAUCAUUUGGUAAUCAGAGCUUGGGUGCUGCAACGUUUCCAGCGAAGUGAGCUUGUCCAGAUAAGUUCCAUCUUCGUACUGUUAUCAACACUUCUGUCAUGUACUGCAUUGUUACUGUUCCAUUGAUUUUUUUUUUACAUUCUAUAGAUUCCUUUGAGUCAUCUUCUUGAUCCAGCUUUGCUUUGAUUUGGUAUUAUCAUUUUAAUCGGUUCAUGUUAAUGAUUUGAGUUUUUUACUUUUGAAAUCUGAUUCUGUCUUGUUAAAGUCAUGUCAAUAUUUUCCAAUUUUGUCUAAAAUUCCAUGUUUAACCAAGAAUGGAUAAACCUGCAUAGUUGAUUGGAGUAAUUCAAUAAGAAGCUUAGUGCAUCUUGAAGCUCCUCAGCAAGCAGUACCAUAGGUUAACAAAGUUAAUUGUUACCGAGAAGAAGUCAGUUGUUGCAUCUGGUUUCAAAUCGUUUUUUUUAAAAAAAACACCAACAUCUGUGAUCUGUGAUGAUGUUUACCGUUACAAUGAUGUGCUAUUGAUUGAGGGAUAUGAUGCAUUCAGAGGAAAUGCCUACCACAAGUUAUGUUGAUACAUUACAGUGGAAAGCAUUCCUGUGCAGAUUCCAAACUCUACACAUAGUAGCUUGAACCGUGUUGCAUAAAGCUUUGAUAGUGUGUAAUUUUUUUUUUUAAAUCUAUCCAGUCAUAGCUUUCUCUGCUGGAUUUCUUUCUCAAUUCUGCAGAAUUCUUUGUUCAAUUAGUGUGCUGUGUGAACUCAUCAGAUUGUGUUUAAGUUGAAUGAUUCAAUCGGAUGAAGUUUACUGAGUGUAUGGAUCAUUUUUGGUCAAACUUGAGCAACAUAUAUGGAGCCAACAAAAAUAAGUCCUCAUAAAGACGACCCACCAGAUUUGAGGACAAAUCCUUUCUAAGAGGGAGGGGAUGAUACACGGGGCCCAAGGCCACCAAAUAAAGAACAACCCCAAGAGCAUGGUGAAGGGUAAAAUGGACAAUUCUACAUAAAGAGGGGUGUGCCUAUCAUAAAAGGGGUGGCAUUAGUGUUUACUUUUCCAUAGGCACCUAGCAUAUUUUACAUGUGUUUAAUAAAGCUUUCUAGAAGCCACACACAUUUAGCACAUGGCUAAUUAGUUGGCAUGAGAUCUGAAACGUGUGGCCUUGAGAUUGAUCUAUAAAAUCUCAUAGGCUAAGCUUGUAAAUCACUUUGGAAUCUAUGAGAAAUUUCUUCAAUCUGAAAUUCAUCUCUGCCAAGCAAAUGCUUACCAAAGUCACUCUUUCCAUCAACUCUCUCCCACCUCUUAGCUUUCUUUCAACAAUGGAGGUUGUCUGAAGCUAGGACCACCUCAUUCCUUCUCUGCCGCCAUCAACAUUCCACUCAAAAUCCAUCAAGUUCCGCUGCCAUCUGCUGGAAUCCUUCCUUCUCAGUUUCUGGCUUCAACAUAGCAAUGGAGAGCCGUAUCAUUUAACCUGUAGCAACCCAAAGUCCUCAGAACACGUAGCCGGUGGCCUCCGUGAACUCUCA
RNAcentral lists this long non-coding RNA (2043 nucleotides) under Vigna radiata. Its description in RNAcentral is "long non-coding RNA (VRAD_LNC009079)". Lineage: Eukaryota; Viridiplantae; Streptophyta; Magnoliopsida; Fabales; Fabaceae. The record is from RNAcentral.